Molecule: ribosomal RNA, 253 nt
Filed under: uncultured bacterium
Lineage: Bacteria
Description: partial 16S ribosomal RNA
Rfam family: Bacterial small subunit ribosomal RNA
Source: RNAcentral
UACGUAGGGUGCGAGCGUUAAUCGGAAUUACUGGGCGUAAAGCGUGCGUAGGCGGUUGGCCAAGUCAGCUGUGAAAGCCCCGGGCUUAACCUGGGAAUGGCGGUUGAAACUAGUCGACUCGAAUCUGGCAGAGGGGGGUGGAAUUCCACGUGUAGCAGUGAAAUGCGUAGAGAUGUGGAGGAACACCGAUGGCGAAGGCAGCCCCCUGGGCUGAGAUUGACGCUCAGGCACGAAAGCGUGGGGAGCAAACAGG